GGCUCCUAGAAAAGAGGCGUCUCCAUCAGUGAGGUCACCCCACUGCCCUUUGGUCUGCAGAGCUCAGGGCAGAAGGAAGAGGCUGCCAAUGGGCCCAACAUUCGUGGCUCACCCUCACCCCACGGGUCUGCUCUGUCACAAGUUAAACUGGACAGCAAACUUGAAAAGUCACAGCUGUGUCUCUUUUUCACACCCGUUGUCCAAAGGGUCGGUUCUGCCAAUGUCGUGUGGCAUGUGCACGAGAGCAGCUCCCUGGCAUCUGAGGGGUCUUGGACAUGUAUUCAGAUGACCUGAACGGCCUUUUGCUGCACUGAAAGCCCAGGCCAAGAUCCUAGGAACCAGAAUGGAAGGCAUUCCUGUUUGCAUGUCAACAAGAAUGCGGCUAUAAAGGUAUUUAUACUUACAUUGAAAGCUCCCAGAAGAAACAACGUGGGUUGUAAUCCAACCGAAAAUAUCAACCGGAGAAUUGUGGAAGCAAUUAAGGCCCGGAUGCCAUGGGGCUUGGGGAGGGCAAUGACAAUGGCCAGAGAGAUGAGCAUGGCUGUCCACAGCAGUCCUGACCAGUGUGGCUCCAGUGUUCCUGGAAAGACAAGGUGAGGUUCUCAAAGAUCAGUGCUUUCAUGGAGUAAGAGGUGACGGACCAAAAUGGGCUUAAUGACAGUUUCUGCAGUCACCAAACUGGCCUUACUGUCCAAACUCUCACCUCCAGUUCUGUGCCCCAGAUGUAAUCCGUCACACAUCCAUGUUUUCUUACCUCCAAGCCUUGACCUGUGUUCCUACUACCUGGGAAAUUCUUUUCCCUUUCCUAUUCAUCCUAGGUCUUAGCUGAGAUGUCAA
Mirounga angustirostris (Northern elephant seal) is the source of this 837-nucleotide long non-coding RNA. RefSeq lists it as uncharacterized. The transcript is spliced from 2 exons. The record is from RefSeq and is a predicted model, not a curated record. Lineage: Eukaryota; Metazoa; Chordata; Mammalia; Carnivora; Phocidae.